RNAcentral lists this long non-coding RNA (1357 nucleotides) under Nothobranchius furzeri (turquoise killifish). Its description in RNAcentral is "lncRNA (ENSNFUG00015020084.1)". Lineage: Eukaryota; Metazoa; Chordata; Actinopteri; Cyprinodontiformes; Nothobranchiidae. The record is from RNAcentral.
AAAUGUGCCCGGAGACGAUCGUACAGGAAAGUCCUGCAGAGGACCCGUUACUCAGACGCCACGUCGGUGAGGAGGCCUGGCGUCAGCAAAACCCCGUCCUGCAUUCUCAGACUAACGCUUUAACGGGUUUGUUCUGAGGUUUGAUGUUAAUCUUUACUCGCAACCUCAUCUGGACUGGAUGUUUUCAUCGCCUUUGUUCUAAUUCCACAGAAGCCGAGGUGGUGAGCGAUUCCCGCCGUUCGGAGCGUCGUUUUGCUCCUGAAAGACAACGAAGGAAGAGUGAUUCCUGUGGGCAGCAGGACCAAAGUCCACAAAAACGUUCACCUGUUCAGCGCUGCCGCCUGCAGCUGCACACCGCCGCGUCAACAUCAGAACAGCAGAACCCGUCGGGACCAAUCCGUAAAGCAGAAGCUGGCGAGCAGAGGGUGUCCCAGGCACAGACCACAACAUUAGUGGGUGAGUGUUCAGCCGUCGGGUUUGAUUUCAGGUUGAGUAAUGAGCUCAUUUGCAAUCUUCUGCUGUCUGCUACAGGAGGGAAAGCUCGAGGCUCCAGUUAUUUGUCCCAUUACCUAAAAGCCCUUAAGCUGGAAACCAAACACGUCAUCGGUAGGUCUCCUUCACGGCUUCGCCUCCCCGCAGCUGGCUGUCACGUUGUGUAACGCGUCUGAGAUAAUGUGCUCACCAGGUAUGGCCUCUGUGUGGGAGUGUCGAGGAUUUGGAAAUUUGAAAACCUUUUUUCUGUGUGAAAGCUGUGAGAUGACGCUCUCUCGACAAGACAUCUGCCAGCACAUGGUCAGCCUCGACCACCAGCGGAAGUACCUGGUAGGUGUCGCAACCACGGACCCGAUCGCCGUGGAGCUCGGAAUGACGGGUUGGUGUGUUUUCCAGGGGAAGUACCACUCAGAGGUGAUGUACUGGCAGGAGUUGGAUGAUCUCCCCCAAAAGUUACAAAUGGACAUAUUUUUAAAUGACAUCAUCCAGCCAAUCGCAGAGCGGGAGUUAACUUUCAAGAUGGACGCUCAGUGUUUCGUGCUGAGUCCAGAGCUGCACAGACUUGUUUGGACUUCUCCGUUCGAUAAAGCUUUAAAGAUGGUGAAAGACCUGAAAGGCGAAGAGAACCCAAGUGUGCUCAGUCUACUGGCCUGUGCCUCCCGGCAGAACCGGCUGAGUGAGGACUCGCCGUCGGCUCAGACAGUUGAGAGGACCCAGUGGUGAGGAUGAAGGCCGUUAUUUAUAAUUAUUAUUUAAUCUGUGAUGUUUUUUUUGAUUCUGUGAAAGAAAGAAAAUAUUCAGAUGUGAACAAAUAUUUUACUUUAAAAACAAAUUUUAUGCAAAUGUUCUUGUAGCAAUACAUAUA